CAGUGUCCGCGUCUGCUCUUGGCAUUAGAGUAACGCUGGCCUCACAGAACGAGUCAGGAAACGUGUCCUCUGCUGUUUUCCAAAAGAGAUUAUGAAUUGGUAUUCAUCUUCAUGAAAUAUGUGAUUCUCAGAUUUAUAUGGAAAGACAACGGAACUAGAAGAGCCAGGAUUGUUUGUCAGAAAAGAAGAAUGCAUUGGGAGGACUGUUGUUACGUGAUUUCCAGAACCACGGUAAAGGUGCAGAAACCAAGAGAAAGUAAUUGCCGCGUCCGCAAGCAGGAGAUAUUGACUCAUCUCGGGUUAAGCCAGACUUUAAGGGUGACUCACUGUGCCUUCAGAGAUGGAGGCUGGAAGUGUGGUGCAGGACGGGGAAGCUCCAAGAUCAGAGGGUGACCCGGCUCACACGUUUGUCAAGACAUGGGACCUCCAGUGACCACCGUGCUGCUGAGUGAACUCUCCCACCAGCUUUUGUUUUUAUUUUUACUUUUUAGCUAUUCCUCCCCAGCCAUCGUGGUGCUGCACGCCCCUUGUAGACAUGUUGACUAAUACAGAAAAUGAUAAAGAGAUUGUAGGAAAUCACCCAUAGCUGUCCUCCCCACUGGUAACAUCGGCAUAUUCCCUUCCGGUCCCCUUCCUUUCUCAUCCGUUCUUUAUGUAUGAGAUCUUUAUGUAUGCUCUGUUCUCCACGCCUUUUACGACUUAACCCUAUACCAGUAGGAUUGUCCUGGGACAUAAAAAUUCUGUAAGCAUCAUUUUAAAUGGCUGCAUGACAUGCUGUCAAAAUCAUAUGCCUAUUUUACUUAGCAAUGGGCCUAUUUUUGGGGAUGUGCAAGGUGUUUCCACUUUUAAAUUAUUAUAAAUGAAUCUGAAAAGAACAUGUUGGUGCACAAGCCUUUAGGACAGAUUCCAGGAGUGGGAUGACCGGAAGGACUGGUUUCCCUCAAUCCUGGGCAGACUGAGCCUUUCCCCAGCCUCCAGUCCUUUGGCCCCAUUAUGAGCUUCAGGCCUAUUCUUAAGUGAGUUACUAUAUCCCACCUCAGGACUUUCUCCAAGUCUGUGCCAGUUCACGUUCCCACUAGCAACCGGAUGGGCAUUCAGGUUAUUUGGAAAAGCCACCUGCAAGCUAGAAAAAUCUUUAUGUUGCUUUGAUCGCAAGGUAAGUUGUGCACCCCGAUCCCCAUCACUACCAGUCAGUUCCUGGAGCCUGUCCCCCAAAUAAUGACAAUAUGAACUGUCCCUAGAGAAUCAACAAUUCCUUGGCGAAUGCCAACUUGUUCUGAGUGUUCCGUGUAUAUAAUCUCAUCCUCACGGCAGCCCUGAGAGAAAGUGACAUUCCCAUUCUAUAGAUGAAGAAACAGGGGCUCAGAGAAGAGAAGGCAUCUGUCCAAGGGCACACGAGUGGGAGGCAGGGAGAGGUGUAGACCCAGAUGGUCUGGCCCCUAAACCCCCGCUGGUGCUGCACAGCACAGGGGUCAAGGAAGGGGGCAGAGCCCUGUGACUAAGUGCCAAGCUGGGGAGUCAGGGGUGAGUGUGAGGUGGGGUUGCUCUGAUUUUGGUUCUGCUUGUGGUUUUGGCCCCACAACCUGCGUCAUCCGCUACUGAGAUCGAGGCCGACUGGUGCCUGAGGGCUUCUGCUCAAGGCUGUGUCCCUAGAAGGACAGAUCUUAUAAUUCAUUUUUAUUUUCAGUCUUUGAAGUAUAACUGACAGAUUGACACAUUGUGUAAGUUUAAGCUACACAACAUGGUGAUUUGAUAUAUGUAUGUAUUGCAAAAUGAUGAUCACAAUAAGGUUAGGUUUUUUCCUAAGGUUUUAUUUAUUUAUUUGAGAGAGAGAGAACGAGUGGUAGGGAGGGGCAG
This is a long non-coding RNA of Ailuropoda melanoleuca (giant panda), 1857 nucleotides long. RefSeq lists it as uncharacterized. The record is from RefSeq and is a predicted model, not a curated record. Lineage: Eukaryota; Metazoa; Chordata; Mammalia; Carnivora; Ursidae. The transcript is spliced from 4 exons.